RNAcentral lists this ribosomal RNA (484 nucleotides) under uncultured bacterium. Its description in RNAcentral is "partial 16S ribosomal RNA". It matches the Rfam family "Bacterial small subunit ribosomal RNA", at positions 29 to 523 of the family's 1533-position model. The record is from RNAcentral.
AGUGAACGCUGGCGGCGUGCUUAACACAUGCAAGUCGAACGAGAACGGAUUAUAGCUUGCUAUAAUUGUCAGCUAAGUGGCGCACGGGUGGGUAAUGUAUAGGUAAUAUGCCUCUUACUAAGGGAUAACAAAUGGAAACGUUUGCUAAUACCUUAUACUCCUUAUUAACAGAAGUUAAUAAGGGAAAGAUUUAUUGGUAAGAGAUUAGCCUGUAUUGUAUCAGUUAGUUGGUGGGGUAAUGGCUUACCAAGACUAUGACACAUAACUGGUUUGAGAGGAUGAUCAGUCACACUGGAACUGAGACACGGUCCAGACUCCUACGGGAGGCAGCAGCGGGGAAUAUUGCACAAUGGACGAAAGUCUGAUGCAGCAACGCCGCGUGGAGGAUGACACAUUUCGGUGCGUAAACUCCUUUUAUAUGAGAAGAUAAUGACGGUAUUAUAUGAAUAAGCACCGGCUAACUCCGUGCCAGCAGCCGCCGCGG